AUAUUACUAAGCGGAGGAGAAGAAAUUAACAAAGAUUGCCUUAGUAAGGGCGACUGAACCGGCAAAAGCUCAAAAUUGGAAUCGGGGAUUCAAAGAAUCUUCGAAUUGUAAUCAGGUCCGCCGAAAUACGAGAGAUCGCUUAAGUACGUCGAAACGUACGCCAGAGAGGGUGAAAGUCCCGUGUAGCGUUCUCUCGAAACAGGUGGCCCCCACAAGAGUCGGGUUGCUUGGAACUGCAGCCUAAGCGGGAGAUAUGAAUCUUCCAAAGCUAAAUAUGGAUGGGAGACCGAUAGCGCAUACAGUA
This 304-nucleotide ribosomal RNA is filed under the name uncultured Spathidium. Its description in RNAcentral is "partial large subunit ribosomal RNA". It matches the Rfam family "Eukaryotic large subunit ribosomal RNA", at positions 40 to 350 of the family's 3401-position model. The record is from RNAcentral. Lineage: Eukaryota; Ciliophora; Litostomatea; Haptorida; Spathidiidae.